AAGUAUAAGCAACUAUACGGUGAAACUGCGAAUGGCUCAUUAAAUCAGUUAUCGUUUAUUUGAUAGUACUUCACUACAUGGACAACUGUGGUAAUUCUAGAGCUAAUACAUGCUAAAAACCCCGACUUCGGGAGGGGUGUAUUUAUUAGAUAAAAAACCAACGCCCUCCGGGGCUCCUUGGUGAAUCAUAAUAACUUCACGAAUCGCAUGGCCUUGAGCCGGCGAUGGUUCAUUCAAAUUUCUGCCCUAUCAACUUUCGAUGGUAGGAUAGUGGCCUACCAUGGUCUCAACGGGUAACGGGGAAUUAGGGUUCGACUCCGGAGAGGGAGCCUGAGAAACGGCUACCACAUCCAAGGAAGGCAGCAGGCGCGCAAAUUACCCAAUCCCGACACGGGGAGGUAGUGACAAUAAAUACUGAUACAGGGCUCUUUCGGGUCUUGUAAUUGGAAUGAGUACAAUUUAAAUCCCUUAACGAGGAACAAUUGGAGGGCAAGUCUGGUGCCAGCAGCCGCGGUAAUUCCAGCUCCAAUAGCGUAUAUUAAAGUUGUUGCAGUUAAAAAGCUCGUAGUUGAACCUUGGGCCUGGCUGGCCGGUCCGCCUCACCGCGUGUACUGGUCCGGCCGGGCCUUUCCUUCUGGGGAACCGCAUGGCCUUCACUGGCCGUGUCGGGGAACCAGGACUUUUACUUUGAAAAAAUUAGAGUGUUCAAAGCAGGCCUUUGCUCGAAUACAUUAGCAUGGAAUAAUAGAAUAGGACGUGCGGUUCUAUUUUGUUGGUUUCUAGGACCGCCGUAAUGAUUAAUAGGGACAGUCGGGGGCAUCCGUAUUCAAUUGUCAGAGGUGAAAUUCUUGGAUUUAUUGAAGACGAACUACUGCGAAAGCAUUUGCCAAGGAUGUUUUCAUUAAUCAGUGAACGAAAGUUAGGGGAUCGAAGACGAUCAGAUACCGUCGUAGUCUUAACCAUAAACUAUGCCGACUAGGGAUCGGUGGGUGUUAUUAUUUUGACCCCAUCGGCACCUUACGAGAAAUCAAAGUUUUUGGGUUCUGGGGGGAGUAUG
This 1057-nucleotide ribosomal RNA is filed under the name Neodevriesia strelitziae. Its description in RNAcentral is "SSU rRNA". It matches the Rfam family "Eukaryotic small subunit ribosomal RNA", at positions 61 to 1127 of the family's 1831-position model. The record is from RNAcentral. Lineage: Eukaryota; Fungi; Ascomycota; Dothideomycetes; Mycosphaerellales; Neodevriesiaceae.